CCUACGGGUGGCAGCAGUGGGGAAUAUUGGGCAAUGGAGGCAACUCUGACCCAGCAACGCCGCGUGAAUGAUGAAGGUCUUCGGAUUGUAACUUUCUUUUCUAAGGGAAGAAGAAAGUGACGGUACCUUAUGAAUAAGGAUCGGCUAACUACGUGCCAGCAGCCGCGGUCAUACGUAGGAUCCGAGCAUUAUCCGGAGUGACUGGGUGUAAAGAGUUGCGUAGGUGGCAUAAUAAGUAGCUAGUGAAAUCUGGUGGCUCAACCAUUCAGACUAUUAGCUAAACUGUUAAGCUCGAGACCGUUAGGGGUAACUGGAAUUUCUAGUGUAGGAGUGAAAUCCGUAGAUAUUAGAAGGAACACCAAUAGCGUAGGCAGGUUACUGGGACGGUUCUGACACUAAGGCACGAAAGCGUAGGGAGCAAACGGGAUUAGAUACCCCAGUAGUC
This 445-nucleotide ribosomal RNA is filed under the name uncultured bacterium. RNAcentral describes it as "partial 16S ribosomal RNA". It matches the Rfam family "Bacterial small subunit ribosomal RNA", at positions 338 to 795 of the family's 1533-position model. The record is from RNAcentral.